AGGCAAUUUGAUAUCAUAAUAGAGCACUGCAGACACAAUGCUGAGUGAAGAGGAGUAGAAAUGGGAAGACUUGGUUGAGCAGAAACUGAAUUCUUGAAAAGAGGAGAUGCUCGAUGAGGGCAUGGAUUCCUGAGGUCUGCCCCAAUACUACAAGACAAUUUGAUAUAAGAAAACACAGCAGAUACAAUGCUGAGUGAAGAAGAGUAGAAAUGAGAAGAUUGGUUGUGCAGAUACUGAGUUC
Molecule: long non-coding RNA, 241 nt
Filed under: Papio anubis (olive baboon)
Lineage: Eukaryota; Metazoa; Chordata; Mammalia; Primates; Cercopithecidae
Description: lncRNA (ENSPANG00000039771.1)
Source: RNAcentral